AGGAUUAUAGUUUAUGAAUAAAAAACAUUUGAUUUGCAUUCAAAAAAUAUUGAAUUUCAAUUUAUCUUA
RNAcentral lists this transfer RNA (69 nucleotides) under Omiodes indicata. RNAcentral describes it as "tRNA-Ala". It matches the Rfam family "tRNA". Rfam says of the family: Transfer RNA (tRNA) molecules are approximately 80 nucleotides in length. Their secondary structure includes four short double-helical elements and three loops (D, anti-codon, and T loops). Lineage: Eukaryota; Metazoa; Arthropoda; Insecta; Lepidoptera; Crambidae. The record is from RNAcentral.